RNAcentral lists this ribosomal RNA (294 nucleotides) under uncultured bacterium. RNAcentral describes it as "partial 16S ribosomal RNA". It matches the Rfam family "Bacterial small subunit ribosomal RNA", at positions 28 to 325 of the family's 1533-position model. The record is from RNAcentral.
GACGAACGCUGGCGGCGUGCUUAACACAUGCAAGUCGAACGAUGAAGCCUUUCGGGGUGGAUUAGUGGCGAACGGGUGAGUAACACGUGGGUAAUCUGCCUUGCACUCUGGGAUAAGCCUGGGAAACUGGGUCUAAUACCGGAUAUGACUACUUCACGCAUGGUGGGGUGGUGGAAAGUUCGUGGCGGUGUGAGAUGAACCCGCGGCCUAUCAGCUUGUUGGUGGGGUGAGGCCUACCAAGGCGACGACGGGUAGCCGGCCUGAGAGGGCGACCGGUCACACUGGGACUGAGAC